Molecule: long non-coding RNA, 3947 nt
Organism: Cyanistes caeruleus (blue tit)
Lineage: Eukaryota; Metazoa; Chordata; Aves; Passeriformes; Paridae
Source: RefSeq, a predicted model, not a curated record
CGGGACAGCGGCACCCGGCUGCCAGCAGGGCAGAGGAGUGAGCUCAGGAUCCCGGCACCCGAGCAGAUGGGGAUAGGUCCCUCUUUUAGUGAGCAAACAACAGCUUGCGCCGGCCUCCGAUGCCGAGAGCGAGAGACCAGCAGCUGCCCCCGCACCUUCACCUGCCCAAUUCUGACGGUUUCUCCUCCCUCAGAGAGAUAUCUCCACUGCAACUAGAUGCCCUCCUUCCCUGAGGCUUGGCCACAUCUUUGUUUUCUUAAGUAUCCAGUUGUUAAGGUUUCCUAGCAACUUAUGGGAAAAAUUGUAUAAGUAAAAGGAACAAAAGGAAGAAGGGAAAAAUGUAUUUCCUUAUUCUUACAGUUUGUGAGUUACAAGCGAAGUAGAUAUUUUUAGUUGACAAUAAAGAGCUGAACAAGGUUUAUUAUAGCAACUUUAAUAUAGCAGUUAUGCAGAAAAGCCUACAAACAGACUUUCAGAACUAUAAUUUUUCUGGUCAUAGAGUUCUUUUUCCAGCACAAAGGCGUCUGCAGUGUCUAAGCUUGACUUCUAUCCCACAUAAACCUUAUUAAAACAUCUUUAAAGAAAUGUAAUUUAUUUAUGGAUUUGGAGAAAGUUCUUGAGAUGAGGUUAAUGUUUGUGGUUAUACAAAUACAAUGCGGGUUAAAUCUCCUGACAGCUACGCAGUUAUUGAAAAUAAAUAAACCAGAAUAGAUUCUUUUCAAAUUUAUUCCUCAUCAAAAUAUCCAGGAAAAAAAAAUAAAAGAGUAGUAUUUACUGCAGAGAACAAUUCAAGAGAACUGAUCUAGUUUUGGUUUUCUGUCUGCAUCUCUUAACUGUAUGUUUCUGUCAGACAGGCAUUCCUUAGUCAUAUGAUCUAUUGGCAGUGAAAGUGCCCAAAUUCAGUGUGUUAUGAGCUAUAAAAAUUUCUCUGGGAUGUGUACAUUUUUUAUAAGAUCUAUUUAUUCAUUCUUGUGUUGACCUCACAAAUAAUUCAAUCUCCUAAUUUUCCCAAAUAACUUCUGACAGUGUAACUACAGAUCUGUGUUGCAAAAGUCUCCUGAAGAUAUUAGGAUUUUUCUCAUUUUCAGUCAUAAUAAUUCGUUUUUGCCUAAAACGAUUAUCAAGUCAUUAAAUUCUCUUCCAUUUUCUCUAUAUGUUAUAAAUACACUUAAUACAUUGAUAUCUGUAAGCUUUCCACUUUACUGACAAUAUGCUGGACAUAGAACAUACUUUGAUCAUAUUGCCUUCUGGUUUUUGAUACACCACCUUUUUGAAAAUGUCAUCAAAUCUUAAUAAAACAUAUGUGUAUAUAUCCUCUUCUGCUUGGAAAUUUCCUGUAGUGCUGGCUAGAUAAAUUCUCUGAAUGGUUCUUCAGAACAGGCACAUCAGAAAAGUGGAGACUAAUGCAUGCUGACCUGCCAUAUGGGCACGAUUUCACUGAAACCCUUUCUUUCUUCUUCUGAGACGUACAUACAAAUCCCAGAAGCUAUGUACACAGUUUUGUGUUUAAUAACAUAGUGCAGCAUACUGUUCACGAAAGUAUGUAGGCACAGAUGAAUCAUGAACAUAAACAGGGGGAGACAGAUUGUAUACAUUGAGCCUCUGUGUCUAACUCUCACACCGAGCACAGUGGAUGCCAGUCCUUAUGCCUGAGGCAGCAGCUACCCACAGAACCUCUACCCUGGUCCUCAGAAGCAUCUUAUUAACCCCAGAAGAGCCACAGAUUCUGUAUUACCUGCUGUUAGUAUCUGCUCUGGGAACACCUGUAGUCGCCCUGUCUGUUGGGCCUUCAGCAUGGAAAUAAUAUUUGCAGCAACCCUGAGCAGCUUUUCAGCUUCCCUUGAGUUACUCUCACAGGCUCUGCUCCUCACCUUGUCGCUCACAGCAGGAUGACAGAAAGCUGGUAAAUUUUGUUGUGGAAUCAGCUGCUGGUGUUGCAGAAAAGCACAACAAAUUCUCAGCUCUAGAAAUUUGAACAGGGGACCAAAAACUACAGUUAGUAAAAGAAGACAGAAUUUUUAAAGAUAGAGUGGAUAGGAGAUUGCAGAGACAAAGGAGGAGCAAUGUGCAGAAACAUAAUAGCCAGAAGACACCAGUGACAGAAGUAAUCUUUAGACUGUAAAUGGAUGCGAAAAGAAGGGCUUGGGGGAGAUAUAUAUUUUUUAGAAAGAGUGAACAAACAAAAUCCCAAAGAACUAGAGCACAGCUGUCCAUCCUGUACGCUGUGGAAAAAAACAGCACAACAUUCCCUCUUUCUGCGAACAUCUGGUCACAAAAGGAAGCCAAGAACCAGAAGAAGAGCAGUUCACUGGCAAACACAUGCCAGCAUUCUUGCUAUCGCUACCAUACAGCUCUGGUCCAUGUUUCAGGCACAGAGAUUUAAUGACUGCGUGACUUGAAGAAAAUAAAUGUAUUUAUUUUUCCCCCAAAAUUAUGGGGCUUGAGGUGAAAUAAGAAAAUCCAACCGAGAAAGAAGAAAAACAAUCAAUGUUGUGUAGUCAAAUUCAAAAUGUUUCUCAGCAUGGGGCCUUUGGCUGAAGACUUCAAGAAGAGCAGGAGAUCCCAAGAUGCUGUGCAGGAAUUGCCUCCCCUCAGCAUACACAUGACUUGUUGAAAUAUCCAUCCAGCCACAAGAUGUCAGCACACUCAACGGGAAUUCCUACAAAAACCAAAAUCUGUAUAAAUGGGGGUAUUUCUGUGUCACACAUCUCUCCUCCUGCUAUUAAUGGAAAAAAAAAAAUUAUGUUUCUGAAGGCUUACAUGAAAUAUCACAUUCAGGCUGUGCCUUCAAAGUGGAAAUACCUGAUGUACCAUGGUUUGACCAUAGUAUUUAAUGAGAGUAAAAUUCUGAAAUAGGAUGGAGAACAUGGUUUUCUCUUCCCACUCUGAAAGCAACAGAUGUUGGACAAGGAUCUAAAAUAGCUCAUAAGCACAUGAAUAAUAUUCAGUAACAGAAUGUAAGCUCUGGCCAGCUGCUUAGACAUUCUAGACUGCACACUCAGCUUUGAAAUCCUGCUUCAGUACCUCUCCAGAAAUUAUUUUGCCUCAGUAAAAUGUCCAGAUAUCUGUUUCAUGGCCUUCACAAUCGCACUAUCUAUAAACCCUUAAAUAAAAAAUUGUACAGGUGGGUUCUGGCUGGUGUGCUAAGUACCAUAAGUAGAGGCCGUAUGGGAUCUGAACAUAGCACAAAAUAAAUUAAUCAUGUCCACUUUCUUUCAAAAAUGGCUCAGACUCAAGAUGUCAUGAUAUCAGCAGUAUUUUGCAAUUUGCCUGACCAAAAUAUUCAGUGAGUUGUUCCUAUUACUGCAUUCCUAUCUGCAAAUAGUCAAGUUUCACCUUGGGCAGGAAAUUGCCUGGAAUCUUCCUGUAAAAUAUGGUCAGAAUUUCCUCUAUGUCAUUUGAAUUCGUUGUGCACAUCAAUGUAUCCACAGCAGAUGGUAUAUGAGAGACUUUCUGGGAAGACUGGGGUAGCUAGAUUCUCUGACUUCCAUAUUAGGUAAAUUUGUAGUCAAAAUGUACAACAAAAUUAGUGGGCAUCUGGAAAAAGAAAAGUUCCUUGGAGAUACCAGCAUGCCUUACGUAGAGGAGAGUUCUGUGCUGUGGAUGUUUUAGUAUUUUUUUUUUGACAAAGUCAUCAAACAUGAAAAGAAGAAUGAUUUAGUUGAUACAGUCUAGCUGUAUUUACAAAGUAUUUGACAAUGCCAUCUCUCAAGCCUUUUAAAGAAAAUCAUACACUCUUAGAAUAUGCUGAGCUGGAAGGGGCCCAUCAUGAUCAUCAAGCUCAACCCCUGGCCCUGUGCAGAACACUCCAAGGAUCACUCUAUGCUGCUGUGGAGUUUUGCAAGGGGCUGAGUCUCUCUCCAGGGAGAUAAAUAUAUGCAGUUGAGUUUCUCGUAUCCAAAAGGAAUUUUGCCAGGUGAAGUGAGGAAGAGAAGAUAAAAAAAAAG